CCCGCUGACGACCGGCGCACGGGUGCGGAACGCGUAUGGAACCUACCUCAAUCAGGGGGAUAGCCCAGGGAAACUUGGAUUAAUACCCCAUAGUAUUGUUUUAUUGCAUGAUAGAACAAUUAAAACUUCGGUGGAUUGAGAUGGCCAUGCGUAUCAUUAACUAGUUGGUAAGGUAACGGCUUACCAAGGCGACGAUGAUUAGGGGCCCUGAGAGGGGGAUCCCCCACACUGGUACUGAGACACGGACCAGACUCCUACGGGAGGCAGCAGUGAGGAAUAUUGGACAAUGGUCGCAAGACUGAUCCAGCCAUGCCGCGUGCAGGAUGACUGCCCUAUGGGUUGUAAACUGCUUUUGUACGAGAAGAACACCCUCUUCGUGAAGAGGACUGACGGUAUCGUACGAAUAAGGACCGGCUAACUCCGUGCCAGCAGCCGCGGUAAUACGGAGGGUCCGAGCGUUAUCCGGAAUCAUUGGGUUUAAAGGGUCCGUAGGCGGGCUAUUAAGUCAGAGGUGAAAUUGUGCAGCUCAACUGUAGAACUGCCUUUGAUACUGAUAGUCUUGAGUUAUGGUGAGGUAGCCGGAACAUGUGGUGUAGCGGUGAAAUGCAUAGAUAUCACAUAGAACGCCGAUUGCGAAGGCAGGUUACCAACCAUAUACUGACGCUGAUGGACGAAAGCGUGGGGAGCGAACGGGAUUAGAUACCCCGGUAGUCCACGCCGUAAACGAUGGAUACUAGCUGUUGGGUUUUCG
RNAcentral lists this ribosomal RNA (751 nucleotides) under uncultured microorganism. RNAcentral describes it as "SSU rRNA". It matches the Rfam family "Bacterial small subunit ribosomal RNA", at positions 84 to 833 of the family's 1533-position model. The record is from RNAcentral.